GGUGACUCAGUGGUAGAGUGCUUGCUUUGCAUGCAUGAAGCUGUAGGUUCGAUUCCUCAGCACCA
Molecule: transfer RNA, 65 nt
Filed under: Dipodomys ordii (Ord's kangaroo rat)
Lineage: Eukaryota; Metazoa; Chordata; Mammalia; Rodentia; Heteromyidae
Rfam family: tRNA
About the family: Transfer RNA (tRNA) molecules are approximately 80 nucleotides in length. Their secondary structure includes four short double-helical elements and three loops (D, anti-codon, and T loops).
Source: Rfam by way of RNAcentral